UUUCUCUGUUCGAGAUCAUACUUGUCAGUCAAAAUAGGAAAAAAACUAGUGGAAGGAGAACCAUAAAUGCACCUUAAAGCCACAAGUGAACUCCAAAAUGCCUUCAUUGAAGCUGAGGGGUGGAUUGAAACCAGACGGUAGAGAGUAGGGAUCAGGAAUAUAGCAUGCCUUGGAGAAGCUGAACAAAGGCGAGCUGGCAGCGUCACCCAACAGAGAAGAACGCUGUCUCUGCUGCUCUAGUUCGACUCGCCUCUUCUUGGCACCGCCCGUGGCCAAUCCAGCAGCCGGAGUCAAGGCAGAGCAGAGGCAACCGCCACCCUAAAACCAAGUGCUGGAAAGAAGAUAACAGCAGGAAUGCUCGUCCUAUUCCCGAAAUGAGGAGGCCCGGUGGACGCAUCGGAGACCAUGGACAGGUCCUCCUCCUCCUCCUCCUCUUCUUCAAAGGAACCACCUUUGUCACGGAUGAGAAGCUAAGGGCAGUCACCGGAGGACUGACCUAAGUAGUCGGUCCAGCCUGAUUGGCAUCCGUUGCUGCAAUCUGAGCUAACAUCUUCCUCCUCUCCUUGCAUCAAUGAAUCAAUAUAGGAGAACGAUCUUUUCAUUCUCUUCGUCGAACAAAGGAGUGCCGAAGGCCCUCGUCGACAGUCUCCGACGCCACAGCGACCGCAGCGGCAGCGACGCCAGGGCGGUCGUCGCUGGGUACCUUACGACACGCGUGGAGGAGCACAGUAACACCCUCGGAGGCGGAGGGCACCGGAAAUGAAAUAGGUCAGAGGUUUAUUGCAGUUUGUAGUUCUGAUCUCAGAUUAGGUUUCUGUUCCUGUAUUGAUAUCAUCUUGGGCAUUGGACGAGAUAGGGCCGUAGAGAUUCUCUUUUUCUCCUCACUCAAAAAUGGCGCCUUGACAGUCUUGAUUGGUUUGAUUUGUUCAAAUGGUGCGGAGAAAAUUGACUCUACCAAUUGUUGGUUGCAAGACCUAUUUUUAGUUGCUUUGUGCUGAUGAUGUUCUUCAAGUGGAUCGACGAAGAUGCUAUUUGUCAGGAACGAAGAAUUUAAUCGUGCUUGAGUAGUCUUUUUAGUGUCUGAGCUAUCUUUCUAUUAAGAAUAUAUUUCUUGUCCAGAUUAGUGUUGGCUAUGAAUUCAGCUAGAACUUUGGCAUUAUGUUGAUAGCCCAUAGCAAAGAUUUGGUGGAAUACCCCACAUUGGUGAGAGCCUCGUGUACUAUACUCUUUGAAGGCAAUGAUGACUACUUUGUCUUGCAGUCUAUCUUGGAAAUAGGCUUUCCUUUGCCAUUAGUACUCACACUAGUUUGGUCUACUUGUAACUUUGCUGGAGAAAGCAAAAUAACUCUUGAAUCUAUUUGUAGUUUCUUCAUACUCCCUGAUUAACUCAUCUCACAUUAAUGUUUAUCCAUGGAAUUGAGGAAAUUUCCUAUUGUUUAAGACACAUGGGUGGUUUGGACACAAAGAAGAAUGAAGAGUGUAAAUGGUUACAGUGAUAAAGUUCAUCACAAACUUUCUUGGUAGAGACCUUGGAAAACUCUGUCCAAGUUUUGCAUCUUAUGACCUUUGGACUAAAGAGCAGAUUUGUUUUUUUUUCUUCUUCUUUUAAGAGUAUGUAGCAGAAUGGUUGAUCUAAUUUUUCUGUUGUAGCAGGUCAUAAAGUUGCUGGCCUUCAACUUUGCAGAAAGAAAGUUUCUUCUGUUGGGUGUCUUUCAAGAAGUCCUGACUCUUCCUUUCUCUUUUAAUUUUGCCUGCAAUCAGUUCUGGGUCAUGUUUAUUGUUUCCCUUCAGCUUGCUGAUUCAAGCACCAAUAACUGUGCAGUGGAAAAAUAAACCAGAUAUUAUGUUUACUACUAAUCUGGAGUAGGAUUGGCUUGUCCAUUCUCUUAUACUACCCAACUGAUGCAUUUACAAACCAACCUUUCUCAAGAAGAAAAUUCUGUUGAUGUCGUUUACAUAAACAUGUAAUUAUACAUAUUCUUCACCUUGGCUAAGGGAGAAAACAAGGGUCAAACCGUUAAAGCAAGUACUUUGUAGAAGCCUAUGAGCACAUAAUAGCUGGCAGCUACCAUUUAUUUCUAACUGGAGAUGAAGGAUUUCCCAUUGUCAUCCCUAUAUUUACAGUCAAGUUCAUGAUUAGAGUAGUGAUCUUUUUAAAAAAUCUUAAAUGGACCUGAAAUAUUAGAUAGUGAUGGAUUUAUUGCCUCAAAUUGUGUCAUAGUCUAUCGCAAUGCAGGAACUCUUAUGAUUAUUGGAUCAGCCCAAACUUAAAGCUCAAAGCCCACGAGCACCAAUUUUAGAUUUCAGUGGGAGGGGGAUUACUUCUCAGGGGCAGCAAGAUCUAGACCUAGUUGCUGGAUGUGUCUAAGAUUCAAUUCUGUCAGACUCAAGGUUAAUCAAGGUUUGUUUUCAAAACUAUACACCUUGUUCAUAUACUCUAUAUAUUUCAAGGUAAAUAUAAUUUCUUUUUUUCCCCUCGGCAAUGUCUGUUUAAUUUGUGCAAAAAUGGAUUAUAAUUCUAUUGCAUCAGGCGAUGCUUUGUCCCCCUAUCUACUCUUGAACAGCUCAGUUAAAAAUCAUGAUUCAGUUGUGAUCUGUGAAUUGAAGCAUCUAUAAUCGAAAUGUUUUAGUAAUCAGUUUGCAUGUCUCAUCUUAUGGCAGGUUGAGUGUAUGCUCUCCUUGCUACUCACAUGGGGGCUGGAAUCAUCUUUAUUCUGUCAGAGCUAUACAACUAUAAUUCCAAGCAAAAAAAUGAUACCUUUAUUCAUGUAUUGCACAUAAAUCCAUGCUAACUAUAUUUUUUUUUCCCUACAUCUGCUGCUUCAUGCUUGAUCACAUGUUUAUGAUACACCGUAAUCAUGAAUGAAGCAAAACAAUAGCUAGGAUGGCACUAAGGACUCAAAUAUACGAGUCGGUGACGAGGGAUUAUAUGAUAAUUACUCCAACAUUUGUGGUUAAGUGCUGAUAGAGUUGACUAUUUAUUUUUCAGUAUUAGAAUGUUACAAAACUAAUGCUUCUACUCAGUUUGGUGAGGUUUCAAUUGUUGAGGCUGCAGGUUGGCACAAAGGCAUCUUUCCAAUGUGCAUGUGCAGCUAUUUCUUCUGCCAUUGGUAGGUGGAGAACCUUGUGCUGGCAACCAUUAAUUGACAUGGAGAAGGCCUUCCACAAAGAGGUCAAAGAAAGCAAUAAGUCUGCUUGCAUCUCUGCAGCUGUCAUGAUCGAGUAGAAGUCAUGCCUAACACAACAUUGUCCUAAUGCCUAGAGUCUGAGGUUGUGAGAACUCCCAUUCUCAUCCAACACCCUCCUAACUUUUUCUUGUCUUCUUGUAUGAGAUGUUCUUAUUGGCUCUUGAGAAGGUCAAUGGCUGCACCAGAAACACACCCAACUCAUGACGAAUUCAACAAACGUAUUGGAUCUUCUCUUUGCAUCUCCAUAUAUAUAUAUAUAUAUAUAUAUAUGAUUGGAGUCUGGAAACAGGAUGAGAUAGAACAGAGUGAGGAAAGAAUCACAUGAAUUCUAUGUGCCGGUCAGAAUCGAUUGUUCGAUCAAUUAUUCUCCAUCUACUGUCAUAAAGAAUGUCUACUGAUUCUGUUGCCAAUGUCAUAUCAUUUUGUAUGAUUUGACGAAAUAAUAUCAACCCCAUUUUGUUAUUCCCCAAUUGAUGACUUCUAAAAA
Long non-coding RNA from Musa acuminata AAA Group (dessert banana), 3675 nucleotides. RefSeq lists it as uncharacterized. Lineage: Eukaryota; Viridiplantae; Streptophyta; Magnoliopsida; Zingiberales; Musaceae. The transcript has 3 exons. The record is from RefSeq and is a predicted model, not a curated record.